UUAGGGUGGGAUCAGGGUGGGCUCAGAGGGAUUUGGGUGAAAUUUGAGGAUUUAGGGUGGGAUUUGAAGGAUUUAGGGUUGGAUUUAAGGGAUUUAGGGUGGGUUUAGGAUGGGAUUUCAGGGAUUUAGGAUGGGAUUUGAAGGGUUUAGGGUGGGAUUUGAAGGGUUUAGGAUGGGAUUUCAGGGAUUUAGGGUGGGAUUUGAAGGAUUUAGGGUGGGAUUUCAGGGAUUUAGGGUGGGUUUAGGGUUGGAUUUCAGGGAUUUAGGGUGGGAUUUGAA
This is a long non-coding RNA of Zonotrichia leucophrys gambelii, 279 nucleotides long. RefSeq lists it as uncharacterized. Lineage: Eukaryota; Metazoa; Chordata; Aves; Passeriformes; Passerellidae. The transcript has 3 exons. The record is from RefSeq and is a predicted model, not a curated record.